This 379-nucleotide ribosomal RNA is filed under the name Enterococcus casseliflavus. RNAcentral describes it as "bacterial SSU rRNA". It matches the Rfam family "Bacterial small subunit ribosomal RNA", at positions 568 to 945 of the family's 1533-position model. The record is from RNAcentral. Lineage: Bacteria; Bacillati; Bacillota; Bacilli; Lactobacillales; Enterococcaceae.
AGCGCAGGCGGUUUCUUAAGUCUGAUGUGAAAGCCCCCGGCUCAACCGGGGAGGGUCAUUGGAAACUGGGAGACUUGAGUGCAGAAGAGGAGAGUGGAAUUCCAUGUGUAGCGGUGAAAUGCGUAGAUAUAUGGAGGAACACCAGUGGCGAAGGCGGCUCUCUGGUCUGUAACUGACGCUGAGGCUCGAAAGCGUGGGGAGCGAACAGGAUUAGAUACCCUGGUAGUCCACGCCGUAAACGAUGAGUGCUAAGUGUUGGAGGGUUUCCGCCCUUCAGUGCUGCAGCAAACGCAUUAAGCACUCCGCCUGGGGAGUACGACCGCAAGGUUGAAACUCAAAGGAAUUGACGGGGGCCCGCACAAGCGGUGGAGCAUGUGGU